RNAcentral lists this ribosomal RNA (471 nucleotides) under uncultured bacterium. RNAcentral describes it as "bacterial SSU rRNA". It matches the Rfam family "Bacterial small subunit ribosomal RNA", at positions 29 to 521 of the family's 1533-position model. The record is from RNAcentral.
AGCGAACGUUGGCGGCAGGCUUAACACAUGCAAGUCGAGCGCCGUAGCAAUACGGAGCGGCAGACGGGUGAGUAACACGUGGGAACGUACCUUUUGGUUCGGAACAACACAGGGAAACUUGUGCUAAUACCGGAUAAGCCCUUACGGGGAAAGAUUUAUCGCCGAAAGAUCGGCCCGCGUCUGAUUAGCUUGUUGGUGAGGUAACGGCUCACCAAGGCGACGAUCAGUAGCUGGUCGAGAGGAUGAUCAGCCACACCGGGACUGAGACACGGCCCAGACUCCUACGGGAGGCAGCAGUGGGGAAUAUUGGACAAUGGGCGCAAGCCUGAUCCAGCCAUGCCGCGUGAGUGAUGAAGGCCCUAGGGUUGUAAAGCUCUUUCGGACGGAACGAAAUGGUUAUGGUUAAUACCUGUGACUGAUGACGGUACCGUAAGAAGAAGCACCGGCUAACUACGUGCCAGCCGCCGCGGU